CGUGUAGGCGGCUCUGCAAGUCAGAUGUGAAAUUCCCGGGCUUAACCCGGGCGCUGCAUCUGAAACUGCAGAACUUGAGUACUGGAGAGGAUAGUGGAAUUCCUAGUGUAGCGGUAAAAAUGCGUAGAUAUUAGGAGGAACACCAGUGGCGAAGGCGGCUAUCUGGACAGUAACUGACGCUGAGGCGCGAAAGCGUGGGGAGCAAACA
RNAcentral lists this ribosomal RNA (208 nucleotides) under uncultured Saccharofermentans sp. Its description in RNAcentral is "partial 16S ribosomal RNA". It matches the Rfam family "Bacterial small subunit ribosomal RNA", at positions 568 to 774 of the family's 1533-position model. The record is from RNAcentral. Lineage: Bacteria; Bacillati; Bacillota; Clostridia; Eubacteriales; Oscillospiraceae.